Molecule: ribosomal RNA, 62 nt
Filed under: Polystachya maculata
Lineage: Eukaryota; Viridiplantae; Streptophyta; Magnoliopsida; Asparagales; Orchidaceae
Description: partial 26S ribosomal RNA
Source: RNAcentral
GCGACCCCAGGAUGGGCGAGGCCACCCGCCGAGUUUAAGCAUAUCAAUAAGCGGAGUAGAAG